AUAUGACAAGUGGCAAUAUAGAUCCACAUCAGCUAUUUUAUUUAUUUUAUUCUCAUUAAUUAAUUAAUCAUUAUAGUACACAAAAUUUAUUCAAAACCAGUCGUACUCCCUUGGCUUUUGUCCCUUGGCUAACAAAAGUUCCAUCUACCUUCCCUCAACAGCAAUUCGCCGCCACCACUGUUCACCGCCACAGCCGCCUUCGCCGCGCCGGCCACCGUCGUGACAAGCCCUCCGAUCUGCCAUCUCCUCUGUUUCAACAAUUAAAUUAGUGAUAUGCCACCUCUCCAUCGCCGCUUCUUUCUUUUGUACUCACGCUUGCCGCCUCCCCAUUUUCGCCGCGCCGGCACUCCGACUCCGAUGCUCUCAACACUAAUGACUAUUGCUCUGCUCUCAACCAUGGAUUCGCCUCGCCGGCACCCACCGCGAAUCGCCGCGCCCCUAGAUCCCCAAAUCCUCACCGCCUCUUUGCGAUUUCCGGCAACCACGGCAGCCAUGGCCGCCGAUCUGCCCCUCCCACCACCAGAAAACCAGAAAUCGAUCUGUCACCUCCCUUCCCCCAUAUGAUUUUUGGUUCUAGGUGCUUGGUCCAGAACCGCCGCUCGCCAGCCGCUGUGUUGCAGUCGCCCACUCCUAUUCUCACUUCAACUAACUCUAUGAGGGAGUAAGCGAUUGCUUUACUUCAUUCGCUUGCGUUGUGGAGCCAUUUUACACUGCAUUAGAGUAAUUCUCCAAACAUAAAGGAGAUAACAGUGUUGGACAAGAAAAGAGCGAGGAGGGCCAAGUUUUAUUAUGUUAAAGAUAGAAUGAAUCCACUUAGGAAGAAUUAAAGUUCUGCUUUGGAUAGUGGAUAUGGAAAAGUCACGAAUAUGUGCUGAUGGUGGGCACACUUUUAAGCAGAAGGAUUUUAUAAACUAAUAAACUUGAAGCUCAAGUCAAGUGGAUGACCUGAUUGUUCGUGACCUAUGAUGUAAUUACUUGCCAAAUUUGAACUAUCAUUUGAUUUCUGUGUAUAUAAAUCCAUCAGAAUAUUACCGAUUGAUUUUAAAUUAAUAUAUGA
Salvia miltiorrhiza (redroot sage) is the source of this 1057-nucleotide long non-coding RNA. RefSeq lists it as uncharacterized. Lineage: Eukaryota; Viridiplantae; Streptophyta; Magnoliopsida; Lamiales; Lamiaceae. The transcript has 4 exons. The record is from RefSeq and is a predicted model, not a curated record.